RNAcentral lists this ribosomal RNA (564 nucleotides) under Triticum aestivum (bread wheat). RNAcentral describes it as "partial small subunit ribosomal RNA". Lineage: Eukaryota; Viridiplantae; Streptophyta; Magnoliopsida; Poales; Poaceae. The record is from RNAcentral.
AGUGACGAUGAUGUGGAUAUUGGAGAUCCUUUUCUUACCGAUAGAUUUGGAAAUUUGACAAGUUGGAGGUUGAGUGAUUUGGAGGCAGCAGCAGAUAAUUAUCUUGAAAAUGAAGAAAGUGAAACAGAGGUAGAAGAAAAGAAAUAUUCCAAAAAGGAAAUGCUAAAGCGUGAUGCUGACCGUAAGAAACAGUACAUGGAAUAUGCUUUACAGAAAUAUAACAAUGAUGAGGAUCUUGCUGGGAUGCGUUUUGUGUUUGAUGAAAGUAAAGACGAAGUUAUCAUUAUUGAAGGAAACAUGAACUCCUAUGAACACUUCAACUUUACAGCUAAGCAGGCUGGUUCCACCGUUCUAUUUUUUGCUGAAGUGACCCGAGACGAAGGACAGCUGUGUAAUGUUCUUUGCUGCAAGCCUUUGGAUUCUGAUGACAAUGGACAUUGCUUUGGUUGUAAGAAUCAAGGUUAUGUGGACUUGAGGCAUCCAUCUGGCGAAAGUUUGUAUGUUGGAGGUCAUGUGGAUUGCGAGUUCCCAUUUAUGUGGGAUAGUAUCAGUGAGGUACUGUAA